UCUGAUAUUUUUGGAGCCCACACCAGAUUUUUCCAUCAAAUUCUUCCCCGCUCACACAUCAUCUAAUUUGUUUCCCUCCCGAUCGAUCUCCUUCACAAUUUCCCCAAUAAGCAAAUCCUCCCAGAUUCUGAUCUUCCUUUCAAUUCUUUCCAAACUCGAUUGCCAACCGACCUGAAUAUCGACGAGGGGUUGACUCCCAUCCAACCAACCAUGUCCGUAGCCAUGGAAGAGAGAGGAGGGAGAGGGGAACGCAGUGGCCUCUUGGCCACGCCGCCGCUGCUGCUUGCGUGGUUGUUCUCCUCCGUCCAUCCCCAAGUCCAGCUCGAUCUCCAGCUGCGGGGACACCGCAGAUGGCCAGUCUAGGUACACGCACCCGCCGCUCAUCAUAGAGGACACCGUUGUGCCCGUCCUCACACUAGAGCCACCUCCAGCCAAGAUUGACGAGACCACUGGAUCAUGUGGAGCUAGACAUAGGGGACUGCAUCCCUCCCUUCCACCUUCGGUGGAGAAGAUCCUGCAUGGCUACACCAAGAUUGCUUCUCAUGUUGAUAAUGCGCCCUUCAAGGAUGCAGUGCCCCAUGGGUUCCGGCGCACGGGGAUGGCAAGAUCUGCAUCGUCCGCAUCAUCGACGCGCAGUUUGUUAGCUUCAAUGGAUUUGUGGCCUCGGCUCAUCCGGUCCAGGAGGACAAAAGUGCUUGGCGAAUAGAUACAUGCAACACGAGACCAAAAGUAAAAUUUAGGUACAUUUUGUUGAUCCAAAAAUUAUGUUAUGCACUAGAUCAAUUAUCUCGUCGAGCCGCCGGCACUGUCCCUAUACUCCAAUACCAUGUGUGAUGGAUUUCGUUGUUGUACCAAGCAUUUUCUGAAUUUAUUGGCAUUCAUUCA
This is a long non-coding RNA of Triticum aestivum (bread wheat), 885 nucleotides long. RefSeq lists it as uncharacterized. NCBI's taxonomy places the organism in Eukaryota, Viridiplantae, Streptophyta, Magnoliopsida, Poales, Poaceae. The transcript is spliced from 2 exons. The record is from RefSeq and is a predicted model, not a curated record.